Arvicanthis niloticus (Nile rat) is the source of this 974-nucleotide non-coding RNA. Lineage: Eukaryota; Metazoa; Chordata; Mammalia; Rodentia; Muridae. The record is from RefSeq and is a predicted model, not a curated record.
UGCUAAGCAAGCAUUCUACCAACUGUGCUUGAGCCCCGACCCCUUGCCUCUUAUAGUUACCCUGAUGUUGGGAAGGGCCUGCCGUUGCCUCACCAAGCCCGCUGGUGAACCCGCUGAUGCAGAGGCCACCUGCCUGAGUCUUGAUCGCAGACUUGAGCUCGUGAUUCUCCCGAAUGAGCCGUACCAGCUUCUUCAGUUCCUCAUUUUCCCGCACCAGUUUCUCUAUCUGUUGCCGGAGCCCCUCAUAACUUCGACUCUUCCUUUGCACCUGAUCUCUGCUCCUCAGGUGCUUGAAUCUUAUGGAGUUUCAUUUUCUCAGGAAUCUCAAACAAGACGUGAUGGUGAUCCAGCGGCACCAUCUGUUACUCUACCAUCACCCCGGGCUGAGUUGACUCGGCUGAUCUGGCUGGCUAAGCGAGUAUCCCAUCCUUCCCUCACUGUCCCUCCUGAAGCUGACCACUUGGUAGAAGACAACCUUCUCCCAGAGAAGGAGCAGUGUUCAACCAAAGAUACACAAGUAGCUGUGUUCCUCUGCUAGGACUUCCGAACAAGAACCGGAGCCAGUCCUCCUCAACUAGUUUCAAGAGCCAAGGACUGAGUCUUCUUGACAAACCCUUCUCUCAGAGCUAUCUAGAAAGAAUGCCAUGGGCCUGAUCUUGGGAGUCAAUGGAGGCUGAUCCUUAAGACCUCCACUGGCUCUGCGGUCAUCUUCUCUCAAAGCUUUCCAUGGGUCAGGGAGAGGAAGGUAAAGUCCAGUUCCAGACCAGAUUCCAUUGGGCAGACUCUGGUAGAGAGUGGAGCUGAGGAAGAGGAGAGCAUCCAGGGCUGGGGUCAGUCUAAGUUGGGUGUUCUAUCUGGACCUCACAAUGGGGGGCUGCCCCCCUCAUCUCUGACACUCCAUGCUGUAAUCCUCAGUCACUCUGGCUUUAAGGACAAAAGUAUCUAAGGACCACACACAAGCUCUUUUCAUUAUU